This is a long non-coding RNA of Callithrix jacchus (white-tufted-ear marmoset), 25598 nucleotides long. RefSeq lists it as uncharacterized. Lineage: Eukaryota; Metazoa; Chordata; Mammalia; Primates; Cebidae. The record is from RefSeq and is a predicted model, not a curated record.
GAAUUGAAUUGCAAGAUUAUGAAGGCUAAGAAUUCCCAUGAUCUGCUAUCUGAAAGUUGCAGAAACAGGAAAGCCAGUGGUAUAAUUCAGUCUGAGUCUGAAGGCCCAAGAACCAAAAGCACUGAGGUGCAAAGGCAGGAAAAGAUAGAUAUCCGAGCUCAGAGGGAGUGAAUUUACCAUAGUUAGGCCCUCAGGAAAUUGAAUGAUGCCCACCCACAUUGCGGAGGGUGAUCUUUUUUACUCAGUCUACUGAUUCAAAUACUAAUAUUUUCCAGAAGCACUUGCACAGAUGUACCCCAAAAUAAUGUUUCAUCAGCUUUCUGGCCAUCCCUUAUCCCGGUCAAGUUGACACAUAAAAUUAGUCAUUAUACCACAGCAGAAGAGGUGUAGUUUAUCAAGAGGUGAACAUGUGAGAAGUAAUUAAAAAGGAUCAGCUCAGCCCUUUCCAGGGGAGCCUGUGGCAUUUUGGGGUAAAAUAUAAGCAAGUCUAUUCAGUUAUAAACCUAAAGUCAUAUUCUGUCCCAGACUUUCUCUGCAUCUUGCCCUCAAUGGUUCUUGGGGGUAUUAUUUAUAGCUACCUGAAAUCUGAAAUUUCCUUCCAUGUCCUUUUGAUUUGAGGUGGAUUUCACAAUUGCAUAUAAAAGAAAUAAGAUAAAAUACAAAUAAGUAGAAAAGAGAAGAAAAUGAUAAAAAGUUAGAAAAAAAGGAUAAAGUCAGUUGAUCCUUUCUUCAUUCAUUUGACAUACGCUUUUUGAGACUCUGCUGUGUCCGGUUCUACUGUAUGUAGGACUGUGUCACAAACAACAGAAAGGGUUCCUUCUUCAUGAACUUUAUAGACCACAUGCACUUCACACCAUGAGAUUCUCUGCUUUUUUGUAGAGGUCAGAGGCAAAGUGUGUACUGAUCUUAACAGUCCAAGAAAAAAAAAAUCAUGAUCAAUAAACAUGAUAUGUGAAAAUUUUUGCCCACUCAAAAGACAGUUGAACAACUACAAGAGCUUUAUAUCGACUCUUCCAGUAGAACUCUGAGAUUUGAAUCAGUUUAACUGCACUCACAGAGAAGUACAACUGUUUAUUUUCAGUACUACUGAGUUUCACGCAACUUUUUCUACUUACCUGUCUGCCUGAUUCACUUUCCUCAUUUCAAAAAAUUUAAGGCUUGGCACGGUGGUUCAAGCCUGUAAUCCCAACACUUUGGGAAGCCAAGGCGGGCGGAUCAUGAGGUCAAGAGAUUGAGGCCAUCCUGGCCAACAUGGUGAAACCCUGCCUCUACUAAAAAUACAAAAAUUAGCUAGGCGUGGUGGCGUGAGCCUGUAGUCCCAGCUACUCAGGAGGCUGAGGCAGGAGAAUUGCUUGAACCUGGAAGGCGGAGGUUGCAGUCAGCCGAGAUUGUGCCACUGCACUCCAGCCUAGUGCCUGGUGAUAGAGUGAGACUCUGUCUCAAAAAAAAAAAAAAUUUAAAUCUGUGACAGUUUUGACACAAUGAGCAGCAAAACCCUUAAGCAAAUACUGCAUUUUGGCUUGUUCUUAAUGUCUGUUAGAAGGCAUCCCUUGCUUCUCUUUUCUUCCAUUUCCUGCCAUGUCUUAUGUUGAUUUUCAAAAGUGAUUUUUAUUAAUUUAUUUUUAAAUUAUGCAUCCUGGACUCUCAGAAAGGUCCCAACUGAUGCAAGAUGGUUAUUUAACCUGUCAGAGCCAUUGGGGGCAUAGCAUUUCAUCUCUUCCUCUAAUUUCUGACUUGUCAUUAAAAAUUACUGAUUCUGAGUAAUCACUUCUGACUCCCAACACUUUCCAGCAUUUGACAUUGUAAAUAUUUCUUGUUUGUGUAAUUUAAACCUCAUGAAAGGCUAGAAAUGAAAUGUGAUCAUUGGCUUUUCACAGCUUACAAAAAAAAAGAAGAAAUAUAUUUAGAUUAAAUAAAAAUGCCAUAUUUACCUUGUUGGAGCCAUAGCAGCUAAAACAACAUUUCAGAUAAAGUAGUGAAACCGUCUCUGAAACCCAGGUUGGUUUUCUACUCUAGGAUGUCACACUUUCAUGACAAGGGCCAUAGUUCACAGUGAUGGUCUACAAUUCUGAUAAUGGCUUCUAAGGGAUUUUUUGUUUUGAACUUCCUAGGGUUAUUAGGAAACAAAGCCAAUUUUCUUUUGUCUAGUCUAUGAUUAAGGAAACUACAACUAAAGUAUAAAACACAAGUAUUGCUCGUAUUAAAAACAAAGAACAUCAACAAUAAGAAAAAACAGAAUCACAGCUUAGAGGGAGUGGUGAAGCCAAAAACACAACUGUUUUUUUGUAGGAUAGUCGAUAGCUGGUAAUGAUGGAAGUCAGCAUUAGAAGUUCUUCACCAGUGAUGGUCAAACGCAUUGGCGGUUCAACAAAUGUAUGAACAGAUUUUACCACAAAUCUGCAUCGUUUUUUCUCAGUGCUAGCUGUCUUGAUCUAAAAUCUUCAUGGAAUUUUGACCUUUAACAUCAAAAGUAUUCAGCUUGUUAUUUAAACUAUUGGAUUUUGUAGCAGUAAUGCAAAAAUAGGCUAAAUAAACCUAAUGAAUUUUGUUCUUAGAGGCCUAAAUUAGUUACUGACCAAUUUUGAACAAUUCAAUAAGAAUACAGUUAUUGAAAAGUGGUGUAUUCUGUGAAGCACCAUCUCCAUGUCAAGCUUGUAUCAUUGAAAGUGAUUCAAAGUCUCCAUUUCAGUCAUUUCCAAAGGGAAAACCCUCCCACGAAGCCUAAUAGACCCAAUAUUUUAGAAUCUGUUCACAUAGUUACUAAUUGUGGGAUGUCUCUGGGAUGUUUUUAUCCAUUUCCCAAAUUCUUAUGCUUUGCCAGCUUCUUGGCAACUGUCAUUUGCUUCUGGUUGAAUUAGGUCUCCUGGAAACUCAGUCUCAAAGAUAGAGCAGAUGCUAAAUGACUGAGACAUACCCAUAGAGUCAGAACCUAAAGGCAGACACAAAAACAUAAGGUGUGAUUCAUGUCCAUCAAACCUAUGAAUUGUUUCUGAAAUUAGGUUUUCAUUUCCACUGAAUGGCUCUACAAUUCUUUGACAGCUGCGAUUCCAUUGACUUCAGGGUAGUUUAGCAAUGCGGAUUGGCUAUAGUCUCAAGUCACCAUCUGUUCAAUCCACAUGUCCAGCUUUCUCCUGAGUGGCUUUGCUUUCUGAAACCAAUCAGCAGAAUUGAAAUAUAUGCUGUCUUUUUACAUCAAGUUUGGUGAAUCUAUAUCUCUGCUAUAGCAGUCUAAAAUUAUAAUUGAGGUUUUAAAGAUGUGGGUUGUUUAGUCAUCUGAUUUACCAAACUCCUUAAUCUGAAAAAGCAGAUCAAAGAACCUCUUUCAACAUUUUUCCUGAAUAAAUCGUCCACCUAUAAACAAAACUAUAUUUCAAGUUUUCUUAAGUAAAUGGUACCAAGUAUGCAGAAAAUUUACAGCCUUUAUCACCUCCUCCAUUAACAUGUGCAAUAAACUAGUUUUUACAAAAUUUGGAGCCCUACCUUUCUUAAUGCUUGGGGUAAUUGAAACCAAGUUCACCAAUGUACUCUUGUGACUCCCAUUCAUUACUUAACUCUUCUUUUUUCUUUCACCAUAGAUCUGCCUAUAAUAAUUGAAUUCUGGUUGCAGGGCAGACCAAAAUGCUUUAAUUUCUUAUGGGAAGGUAGGCUCAUGCAUUCUAUAUCAAUAGGUAGUGUUUAUGUUUUGUAGCAUCCUCAAUGUAAAUUCAUCUGGCCUCAUGUUGAUUGUCCCUCUGAGGUGAUCAGACAAGUGAGUAGGGAACAGCGGUUGUCAUAGUUAGUUCUGGGUUGCCAUAACUGACUACCAGAGACUGCAUAACUUAUUUUUAAAAAGAGUUUUGUUUUGUUUUUAAAUAUUGAGUUCUCAUCACAAGUACAAUAAAAACUAAUUGUAGUUGUGAAGUCUAGAAAGUCCAGUAUCUGUGGCAUCUGGUGUCUGGUGAGGACCUUCUUGCUGCAUGCUCACAUGGCAAGUAAAAGGGCAGAGGCUAACAUGUCCUUAUAUGGCAGAAGAGAAGAAGAGAGUGAACCCAUCCUAUGAACACUUUCUACAAUGGCAAUAUCCAUUCACGAGGAAGGAGGUCUCAUGACCUAAACAUUUCCUAUUAGAACUCAGCUCCCAGUGCCAUUGCAUUGGGGAUAAGUUUCCAACACAUACAUUUUGGGGAAAAUUUAGACCAUAGCAGGUGGCUUUUGGAACUGGGGUUCCUGGGAAUGCCCUUGACCCAUUGGUAUCUGAUUUUAAAUCUGAGGUCUGCUACUUCAUGAGCUGCAGAGGGACCUCAGGGGAGCUAAAUCAAAGCCAUUCACAAAUGGUUUCCUCCAGGGAUCCCUCCUUGUUUCUGCAGCUCCUCCUCUUCAUCAACACCUGCUAGCCUGGCUUGUCAACCUCCUGGAUUUAGAUAACUGUUCCUAUAUAUCGCCUGUGUUACAUUUGGUAACUCACUCACCAGUGAUUCUUCACCCUACUUUUCCCAUUUGUUUUGGUCACUUUAUGUAUAUUGUGCUUUGGUGAAAUGCUUAAAAUCUCCUUGUAACUGAAAUUAGUCAGUACCUCAUUUGAAGCCUUGCUGUUCUUGCAGGCUGGUGGUUACCCAAAGGGCCACUGUUUUACCCAGGAGGGGCCAUGAGAGUCCUGAUAGUGUCAUGGGGAAGGGAUUGAGCUGGGGUGGGAGAAAGAUACAGAUGGUUCCUAGCCAUGUUCGCUUCCCACUAAGAAAAAGCAGGUUGGUUUGUUUGUUUGCUUGCCUAUUUAUCAGUUUUUAUUGUACUUGUGGUAAGAAGUCAGUAUCUAAACAAACACUGUGAAGUUAAAUUCAGACUGUUUUCUAUCUGCUGUUAAACCAAAGCACAUUUCUUUGUGCUCCCUAAAAUAAUGCACUAUAUCAGGACAAGAAGGUUAAAAAACAAGCCUUUAGAGUCAGACAGGCCUAAGUCCAACCUGUCCCAUCCCUUUCACUACCCCUCUGAAGCCAUGAAUGCUUAACCUAGGUCCUCAGUCCCUCUGUGUCAGUUCCUGUCUGCAAAAUGGGGGAAAAUGUGGCACUUACCUCAAAAAGUGCUAUGAACAUUAUAUGUAAAAUCACAUACAAUGUGUCAAACCUAGUACAUGGAACACUUAUGAUAAUAACAUACCACAUUCUGUUUACCAGGUUUUAUUCUAUAACACUUUACAUAGAUUUGUUCAUUUAAUCCUCACAGUGGCUAUCUUUUUCUUUACUUUAUAGAUGAAGAUGAGGUUAAGCAAGAUUAAUAUAAGUUACCCAAGAUCACAAAGCCAGCAAGGAAAGGGGCUGGAGUUUGACACCAGAUCUCUUUUGUGCGGUAGCCUCUGUUCUAAAGAUAGUGCUUUAGAAGAGAAAGUAAGGCAUCCUGUAGAGCUUUCUAUUAAGUGGUGAAGUGAAGGCAGACCUCUAGUGAGAAAUUGAAUCUGGAAGCCAAUUUUCAGAUAAGUGUGCUGUACGGUGUACCAGGAGGAGAGUGUGAAAAUUAUUGGUGAGAUAUUUGAAUUCUCAAAAGCAGUCCUUCAUUGUUAUCAGUGUCCGUGAUGCUUUGUGAAAUUUUCUGCAUUGAUGUAACAGGUAUUGGGCAUCUACUCAGUACUGGGUGGUAUAAAGUGCCAUUGAUACAAAUAGAAAUAAUUGUUACCCCAAUCCUCACCUUCCUUAGCCCCAUUCCCUAAACCACAUCUUUUAUUAUGGCCUUUUAGGGGACUCCAUGAGCAUUAGUUAAAAAAGUUUUCUGGAAUGGCAGAAUAAGAAAAUUUCAUUAGGACUUAGGCCUGGGAUUAAAAUCAUGCCAGUAAAACCUGAUGUUUGAACAUCCUAAUACUUGUUUUUCUCAGAUGUAAAAUGUGAAAAUCUAGUAUGUAGUGAAACAUCAGAUCUCACUCCACUGUCAGAAGUCAAAUCGUGUCUGCCCAAAAAACAUACGUUGAAAUCCUAAAUACCCAGUACCUGUACGGGUGACCUCCUUUGGACAUAGAGUUUUUGCAGAUUUAAUCAAAUUAAUAUGAGGUCAUUGAAUAGUACCUUAAUUUGAUAUGACUAGCAUCCUUCUAAGAAGAGAAAAAUUUGGACACAGACACAGAAACACAGGAAUACUACCAUGUGGAUAUAUAUAAAGACAUACAGACACAAUGAGGGGAGAUCAUGUGAAGAUAGAGUCAGAGACUAGAGUGAUACAUCUACAAGCGAAGGAAUACCAAAGGUCAUCUACAGCCUCUGGAGACUAGGAGAGAGGCCUGGAACAGAUUCUCCUUCUGAGUCUCCGGAAGAAAUCGGCCCUGCCAACACCUUGAUCUUGGACUUCUGGUCUCCAGAACUGAGAAACAAUAAAUUUAUGCUGUUGUAAGUCACCAGCUUUGUGGUACAGGAGCAACAGGAAACUAAUACACCUGUCAAGUAAUGAAGUCAGAAAAUAAUUUCCUAGGAAGUUUAAAAUGAUAGAUGCAGGAGAGAGAACCCACUCUUAGGUGGCUUGCUGCGUCAAAUAAUGGAAGCCAAGUCAUAAUGAGUUGAAAUCCAGGUUCUAUUGGGGAUUAAAAGAUUACAUAUUAACACCUUUCUCCCUUAGUCCAAUUCCUCCUAGAUGAAUGUAAUCCUCACACCCACUAACCCACUGUUUUCAGCUUCUUCAAUAUGUACAGUUGUCUUCACCCACCUGCCUUUUUUUUAAUCUGUUAAUCUUUCUACACUACUUUUUUAGUCCACCUGUACCUCAACUCAAACUUCAUCUACCCUCUACUAUCCCUUGUCACUUUAAUUUAACUUGAGCACAGAUAUGCUGCUUCCGUACCCAAUAAUUGAUUUUGUUCUAUAUGUCUUUAAACCUGGCCAUGUUUAGGGUCCCAUCAACUCUCACAUUUAACUCACUCCUUCUUGAAAAGCCUGUUUGAACAUUUUUGUAGAUACAAAGAACCUAGUAGCUUAACUGUGUUUUAAAUAGUCUCUACAUGUUUCAUUCUUUGUUGAGGAAAGAAGCUAAGGGAAGAGGGGACAAAGGUGUCUUUUCCAAAUUAGGUGACAAUUGAAUCUCAACAGGCCCAAGAUUCCUUAAUGAGAAUACUAACAGUCAGAUUCACACAAGCUGGCUUUGAAUUCACAGAUCUCUGGUCUGGCACUGACUAGCUCAGGAUUGUUACAGAAAUUCCAUAAUUUCCAUAUGCAAAAAUUGUCAGGCUAUAAAAUGAGGUAACAGUGCUGCCUAUCUUAAAGAAUUUUUGGGCCAGGCAAAGUGACUCAUGCCUGUAAUUCCAGCACUUUGGGAAACUGAGUAGGGUAGAUCACCUGAUAUUAGGAAUUCAAGAUCAGCCUGUCCAACAUGGUAAAACCCUGUCUCUACUAAAAAUAUAAAAAUUAGCUGGGUCUGGGGGCAGACACCUGUAAUCGCAGCUACUCAGGAAACUGAGUCAGGAGAACUGCUUGAACCCCAGAGGUGGAGGUUGCAGUGAGCUGAAAUUGUGCCAUUGCACUCCAUCCUGGGCGACAAGAGCAAAACUGUCUCAAAAUAAAAAAAAAAAGUUGGGAAGGUAAGUGGAUUAAUAAUGCAUGUGGACUUUAUGCCUGGUUCUUAGUAAGGUCCCAGUAGACAUUAGCUCUUCCUAUUUGUCCCAUAGGUUUUUGGCAACUAUUUCAUUUUUACAGUAAUGCUUUCACACAGUUGCAUUCACUAUUUGUUAAAUUAAGAUCUUUGCAUAUUUAUUCUUAUGCAGUCUCUUAAUAAAAAAGCAUAAAAUUGAAAUAUAAAUCUAAUAAAAAUGGAAUAAUUUUUAAAAAAAUCAAUGCUAAUAAAUUUUGGUGGAUUUUUUUUUAGAAACUGCUUCCUGCAGUUGAUUUUGCACCAGCAUUUUAUGAAGCAUAUUUUAUUUUUUCUAAGUAUUAAACUCCAUCAAAUAGGUAUACUAGUACAGGCUGAUAGCUAUACCUGAAAAUAACAGUAAAUUUUAAAAAGCUUUUAUAAAAAAGCCUUUCAAAGUUACUGUCAAAGCUUUUCCUGUUUGUAUGAGAUUGUGCACUUUAGGAAUGGAAAAAAAAGAAAGAAAUAUACCGGAGGAAAGUUAUACUCACUGGCAUGAAAGACAGGAGAAAAGCGUGCCAGGAAAGCAGUCUAAUAUGCCAAGGCAAUUCUAGCUCUGGUCAUCAUACAAACUUAACAUUACAUCUUGGGUAUAAAUGUCUUGAGUGAGUAGUUGACUGCCACUGGGAUGGAGAAAAUGGAGCUGAUAAGCUUUCAAAUAGACAAUCUUUAGUCUCAAUUUGAACAAACUUGGCCCAGCGGGCUUUUAUAUGUUUCCUUUGAUGAGGUUUUUUUCUUUUCUUCUUUUAUUUGUCUUCUUUUGGAGGCAGAUACUACAUUGUAUAUUGUGUGAUUUAGCAAUUAAAUUAUUUAAGCUAAUUAAUGAUUGAGUGGAAAGAUGAGUUGGUCAAUAUAUUUAUAAAAGUCUGGUUUCUCCAAGCAUUUUAAAAAACAGAUAACAGAUGUCUAGCAUGUAAUAGGCACUUUAUAAAAUAUUUUGAUCGACUAAUUCAAUUGUAUAGAUCCGUUGUUCUCACAGAUACCUGGUAAAUUCUGCAUCAAGUAGGCAUUAAAAUAGGUUGCUUGUGUGCUGUCAUUUAGCAUGUAUAUGUCUUAUGCAAAGACAAAGUUACAUAAGCCAGUGCCUGAUCGUCAAGAUCUACUCCCAAGAAAAGGUGAGGAUACAGGAGGUGGAAGUAUUAAAGGAAAGAGAGAAUCCCCUAUUUCCACCACUUACUUCAAAAAAGUAUAUACAACAAUAGAGUAAGUCAAGCAUAAGACUUUAAAAUUAGGAGACAUGAAUUUAGUGUCCAUCUCUGUCACUUACUUGCCAUAAGAUAUUGGACAAUUUUCUUAGCUACCUUGAGUCUCAUUUUUCUCACUUGUAAAAUGGGAAGUAUGUUUUCUCAGUGUUUUCCCAGUGGUGAGGAUUCAAUCAAAGAUUUCCCAUGAACGUGUGCAUUAAACUUUAAUGUGCUUCGCAGAUAUGAGACAACAACCACAUCAUCCACACUGGAUGCAAUAGAGAAGGUCAACUCUUGUAAAAGCAUAAAGGGUGAGAGAGCUUCCACAGAAAACUAAGAUUUAGAGAUUUGUGGACUUCAGGAUCAUAUGACUCUGUUGAAUGAAUCUUUUAAUCCUUAAUUUUUAAGCAGUUUAUAUAACAUGAAAUUAAACAGCAAAGCUUGACAGCAAAAGGAACAACAAAGAUAAAUUUCAACAUACCCAACCUUUUCCAAAAUCAUUCCUGUAACUCCCGAUCGUAGUUUUGCUGAGUAAUCUUCCCAGCAAUACCCAAGCAGCCACUAUCUGGGCUGCGUCUGGACUCUCCGAUGCUAUGUAAGACAGAAAUGCAUUAUAAAGCAUGAGCUUGCCUCCCCUCAGUGCAGCUUUAUUGCAUAUUUAUGCCUGUAGUUCUUGGGUGCUUCUGAGGCAGCAGAUAAGCUUGUUUAACAUUUGGACUGGCUCUAUUGCCACUCACCUAUGCAGAAUUUAAUCUGGCAACCUCCUUCUGAGCCCCUUAAACCUUUUUUUUUUUUUUUUUGCCAGAAGGAGUCUGGGGAGUGUGCAUAAAUCUGAAGACUCCACAUAAGGCACUGGCAGGAAGAAAGCUAUGAGGCCUUUCCAGACCUUGUAGGAUCAAAAACACAAGGGUGAUAUGGCAGGUGCACAGUGUCACAAAAGACAGGCACCAAAUCACACAUGCUAAUCAGAAUGCCUGAAGGGUGGCAGAAUUCAGGCAGCGAUUUCUCUUCCACCGAUCUUCACUUGACUUUUCUUGGGAACCAACAGGGAGAUGUUGGAUUUGACUAUUAAUGAGUCAGUACACACUUUAUUGGUUCUCAAGCACAUUUGUCAUGGCAAUUUACAUGAGUUAGCACCAUGUUUCUAAAGCUUGCUACAGAAUCCAGCAAGCAUUUGUUUUAAUGAGCUAACACACCCAGAAUGACUUAUACUUUUUAUGGUAUUUAUUACAUAUUGUCAUAAACACUAUUAACUUAAAUUAUAAGACUGAAAGAAAAAACAAAGUGUUCGUCAUUAGAGCAAGAAAGAAUCUUUAGAGACACUCACUUCAGCACUUUGUGUUCUGUUGCACAGAGAAGAAAAUCUGGUGACAUUCUUUGUCUCAUUUUAGCUAAAAGGAAAUCUGGAGACCUGCAACUUGGCUGGGGUCUCUGAAGUCUGCGAUGGAGAGGGUAGGCCCAUGGACUACAGUGGGUUAAACACAGGGAGCAUCCAGUGGUAGAACCCAUCAGAAACACUGAAGCCAGCUUUAGAUAAACUUGUACCCAAGUUAUCUAUCCUUAAUGACUAGGAAGAAUAAUCCAUGUCGUGGGAAAAUUUAAGGUUAAAUAUACAGAUUAACAGAGUCUGGAGAGCCUCCUGGAAUAGGCAAAACACAGCACCAGGCACAUUUCAUGUCAGACUGUUCUCUUGGCUGUGUGGCAAGAAGCUCUGUCAACUUGGACUUAAGUUUUUCAUAGUAAUUACUGAUAUCCUGGCUCUUAAUGCUCAUGUCCACUUGCAACGGGCAUAUCCAGGUUGUAAAGGCCAUACUUUGAUGUGAUGUGUCUCUCUAGGAUUUUCUGGAAUGCUGAUAUUCAUUGUCUCCCACAUUUCAUUAAUCUCUCAUACUCAAAGGUAUUUCCUGGUGAUGCAAAGACCUUUGAGUAUGAGAGAUUAAUGAAACGUGGGAGAGUUAAUGUGAAAUGGUGAUUUAAGAGUGUGUACUGUGGUUCACCAACAAGCUAUUUGUCCUUGGGACAAUUACUUAACCUCUGGGUUGUAGGCAAACAGCUCAGCUUCCGUAUUGUAUGUAAAUGGGCACAAUAGUCAUCUCUUUAGGGUUAGUGUGAGGAUUGAGUUAAAAUAUGCCAGGUCCUUAAAACAGUGUCUGGUAUUAAUGAAUGCUAUUUACGGAUUUCUAAUAUUUAUUAAUUUUAAUUAUGUAUUAUCCCUCCCUUAUCAUCUAAGGCUAGCAAUGUGAGGGAAAGCAAGCAUGUAACAGUUUUGAUUAAAAAAAAAUUAACGGCAUUUGGUUUUCAGCUUAAUGAGUUUUCUAAAAACUGUUUUUCACUUUGAAAUAAGAAAAUGAGACACAUUGGUGUAAAUAAGUAAAAUCCCUUUGAAUGGAAACUAACACAAUAUGUUAAACUGGUGACUCAAAUUACAUAUUAUUAUUACUUUUUUCCAAAUUUUAUUAAAACUGUAAACCUUUGUACUGAAAAAGUUCAAUGAACCCCAAAUAGAAUAAACAUAAAAUUCAAAAAUCAUACAAAACCAAUCACUAUAUUAUUUAGCAAUAUAUAUAUAUGUAUAUUUGUACAUAUAUAUGUUUUACUCAUAUAUAUGUAAGUAAAAACAAUAAAUAGGAAAGGCAAGAUUAACAAAAAUUCGGAAUUGCAGUUACCUCUGGGGAGAAGAAUGGAGGACUCAAAGGCUUUAUGUGUAUUGAUAAAGUCUUUUCCUCAAGUAACCUAAGGGUUUUCCUCAAGUAACCUAAGGGGUAAAUAAGUCAUAGUAUUAUUCUUUAAAUUGAAUAUGCACAAAAUAGUUUUUGCAAGUAUGUUAGAAUCACAAUAAGUAGAAAAUGAAUUCAUAAAAUUCAUCCAUUCUUUUUACGUAUUACUUACAAUAACACAAGCCAGAAAGCUGGGAGUCCUUCUUGACCAUUCCCUCACUAAGCAAUUCUCAUUAACAUAACUUUCUACUUCUCUCUACCUCUACCAUCACAUCCUGCCCCAGGCCAUCCUGCCUCUCACCAAAAACACAGAAGUGCUUUUCUCUCUGGUAAAGCCCUGCUCUAAUCCAAUCUCCAGAUAGCAGCUUUAAACCUUAUCUCUCUGUGACUCGUCUAUCUCUAUACCCUUUGCUAUCAGAAGCAACAGAAUGACAAGUAAAUUGCCCAAAGCUGCACAGCCAGGAAACAGCAGAAGCAGGACUUUGGGUGAUAUUGGAAAAGGUUUAGUCGCUGCCGCACACAGGGUAAUCUCCGAAUAAAGGAUAGAUUUAUUUUUCCUUGAAACACUAUCGCACCUACUUUGUCUGCGUAGUUUUUCUUAACUCUGACCUGAAACCACAAUUUUCAAGAAAUGCCUUCCUGAGUCCGUGGCCCAUUGCAGCGAGUCUCCACUGUCUGUCCUCCCAGCACUUUGUUCAUUUCUAGUAACAUCCCUCCUCCACUCAAUUGCAACCUCCGCAAGGGUAGGAGCCUGUUUUGUCCACAAUUAGUGUACACCCUUGCUCACUCUGGUAUUCUCCAUGUCCAUCUCUCAGUGAAAAUGACAGAUCACCAACCAGAUCUCUCAUCUAACAUUCCAAACAAUAAGCAAUCUGGUCUGCUGACCCUACCCACAGGGCUGUGGGACAGAGAUCAGCCCUGACCCAUGAAAUCCAAGAUAGCUUACUCCAUGGAAGGGACCCAGUGCCCAGGUGGAAAUGAAAGUCACUUUGGAUACCCAAGACCUCAAUCCCUUGAGCCAGUGAACAGGUCACAAAUUAACCCCUUCUGCCCCUGUUCUAUCAUAUCCACUCCUGUCACUUGGAGAUUGGGUGGAGGGCAUCCGGAUGUUCACCUCAAGUAUGCUAGGGCCACUAGUGACACAGACCAAGGUGGCCAAGUAAGGUAAGUUCAGGGUAAGGGUGGGAAGGCAGGGGCAGGCACAGUCAAAGCUGUGGGGCUUCUCGGAGGCCCAAAUAAGCUUGAUCCCGCUGAAGUCUGGCUCUUUUCCUUGGCAGCACUGAACAUAUUCAAAAUUAUUGUCCAUGAUCUUUCCACUCCACAAUAGAGGCAGGGCACCUUCAUGCUCCUCUGAAUCCUUAGUGUCCAGCAUAGAGCGUGACCAAGGGCAUAUGUCCAAGAAAUGGGCAGUGCACUAGCCCCCAUGAGUCCUUCAGGUCUGACUCAGGUGAGAAGCCUUUAUUCCUUGACACAUUUUUAGUUGUUUGGUGCUCUUCACAAUAGCCUUGGUGUUCUUUGUAUUGUGGGCUCAAAAGAUAUUUACUGAAUGAAUGAAUGAAUGGACACCUGCAGGCUCACUCUUUCCUGGAUAGUUGCCAGGUCCAAUGCCCUCUGCCUGAAUUCUCUUUUCUCCUCAUUUACCUGCUCAGUUUAUUUCAGGAUUUGAGAGAUUACUAGAUGCUACACUCUUUUACUGGGCUCAAGGGUCACUUCCUCCAGAAGGCCUUUCUGGUUGCUCCUUUCAGGGGCCCCUCUUCUCCAUGGCCACUGCACCUAGGUGGACCUCUCUGCCCUCGGAUCAAGAUGGUAACUUGAGAAUAGAAACCAGAUCUGAUUCAUAUCUCUGUAGCCAUCACAUGGCCAUGAUUGCCACCAGGAUGGGUUCAGGAAACACCUACAGAAGGCAUCAUUUCUUAGGAGAGAGACAACCUCUGAAGCAGACUGAUCCUGAUUGCACUCCAGCCCUGCACUUGAUAGGAUAGCCAAGUUCCUUUCUCUGUAUUAACUUUCCAGGGUCAAACAGCCUGUUGACCCUGGAAAUGAGGUCUAAACUAUCUGGCAGGGUUUCUGGGAUAGUCAUUAUCCCUUCAACCUCAGAAGAGUAGGACAGGAUAGACCCCUUAAUAUCUGGUAAUUGGUAGUCCAGAUAGCUGGGAAAGGUGGGAGAAGGAGGAGAAGUUAGGAUGAAAUUCAACCUUUUCUGCCCUAAAGUUCUCUUUUCCCUCCACCCUCAAAGACACCUAGAAAACAGAGCCCCAAAAUGAAAUACUGAUGUUUUAUUUGGGGAAGUAAAAACUCAAGACAUUAGGAGUGAGAAGAAAGGGAGGAAAUAAUGGGAAGUAAUACAAGAUGAUGUAUUACCAGGCUGGGCACUGCUUCAUGGCAAGCCUUGAGGAGGCACAGCAGUUGUGUCCACCUGCUACUUGGGAGGUCUCCCCACAGGCUGUGCUAUUUUGGAGAAAUGGUGCUUUGCAGCAAUUCAUGGACGGGAGAGAAGAAGGUGGAAUUUAUCUGCUUGGCAGUCGGCUAUCUCUCAUUUUCCAUUAGUCAAAUUUUACUCCAUCAGUAUUAACUCACCCACACUUCUGGGUUUGCUGGUGACAACUUGGGAUACCAGAUCCCAUGCCCUGCGGUAGGGAAUUUUAUCCAUGUCUUUGAAGUGGCAGAAAGAGACAGAGACUCCAUGCAUAUGGCCAGUGAGUUCCAGGGAGAAUCUGAUAUAGUGUAUAUGUCCUGUCCAGUACACUCCAAUAUUGGUUUUUUCAUUUUCUGGAAGAUAACACAAGGCACAAUGAUCAAAGAUGUUUCCCAAGGUCACAUGGUUAUUAAAUGGUAAAUUUGGGAUUUGAGCACUGUCUGGCUCUGGAAACUGUGGAAGACCAAGAUAAAGAAUUUGGAUUUUAUGUAGCAAGCAAAGGAGUCACUAAAGUAUUUUAAACCUGAGAGGGACGUGAGGUAAAGAGCUAUUUAAUGAAGCUCCCAGUCUCCACUGUGCCCUACCUUCCCACCUGACUAAAUUCCAGUAGAAGCAGGUGGCCUCAGAAGAGUUAGAGCAUCAAAGACAGGUCUUGAGAAAUCUCUGGUUCCAGAGCUUCAUUUGUGCUUUAAUAUUGCUCCAUAAUCUUCCCGUGUUCAUCUAAGCCUCCACCUAUCAAAGAGACAAGCUGCUCAGAGACAGACAGGAUCUGAGUAAAGAAGCCAAAAUGAGAAGAAAUUGACCUAAAGAUGAGGAGGAGGAGGACUAGCUAUUUCUGCAUCAUCUGCCUAUGGGUCUGAAGAUCUUGACAUCUGCUGAUGAUUCCUUUGCUGCUGCCUGAGGUGGUCAGAUCUCAUAAACUGUCAGCCACACUAAUCACAUCUAUGCAAUCUAUCUCUGUUUUAUAUCUGCAUAUUUCAUCUAAGCUCAUCAGAAAGGAAGACAGACCACAUACAGCCUUCCCACCUGCAUGCGUAGGGCCUCUUACUUGGGCAGCCUAUUGUGCCACCUAACACUGGCUUAGUUCCUCAACCUCAUGAUCCAUUUCAACCUGGUAUUGGCUGUACAUGGGGACUAUGUGGGGUUCAGAUCCACUUCAGACCAGACGGGAGACUGGUCACUGCAGUGUCAUGGUGAGUGUCCAGAAACCACCAUGUCCAAUAUUGCCAUUAGGAUCAAAUACUCCUAGUAAAGCACUGAAAAAACAAAACAAAAUACAAUUGUUUAUUGAUUUGUGCAUUCAUUGUGUUUCUGGAAAUCAAGCAUAUAAUAAAAAUAAGCAAAAAAAAAUACUUUGGCAUUUUAUAAAAAACAGACAUAUGUUCUAAGCCCAUGCAUGCAAUUAUAAUCAGGAUUUUUACUUAGAUGAUUGUCAGGUUGGCCUGACAAAAUCAUGUGGCGCACAGAAUAAUUCUCCGUUUUGUGGGAGGGACUAUACAAUGCAUUAUAGGAUGUAUAGGCCACCUAAGCCCUGCCCUCUAAACACCAGUAGGUCCCUCUGUCAUUCAUCAUCAUAAUCAAAAACCAUCUCCCCAAAUUUUCAAAAUGCCUCAUUGGGUGAAUUAUUGCCCUAAAGGGUAUCCAGGACUGGGGAGCAGUUUAUUGGUGGAGUGAAAGCCACAGAGUGGGUGAGAUUGCCCAGGAAGUUCAGAAAGAGUAAUAAAAGACCAGGGACAAGGUAGGUCAAGUAAAAUACAAACAUUUAAUAAAUAGAAAAUCGUAAGAAACAGCCUGAAAAGACUGGAGCAGACAGAAGCAACAGACAUAAAAAGACUGGAAAUGGACAGAAGGAGGACCAGUUUCAAGGCCAAAGAGGAAGAGGAAUGGAAACGGGGAAAUAAAAUUUUCUGUAGAAGAGACGAGUCGAUAGUGUCAAAUGAAGUAGGUAAAUGAGGAACUGACGUAUGUCUACUGAAUUUGACAAUUAAAACUUAAUUUCUGAAUUGUCCCAAGGCUGUCAGAGCUGCCCAUGUCGCCUGAGAUGGUCUUGCAGGAAAUUUGAAAUGGGACAUCAAAACUGGAGACACUACAUUGUUAACUCUUCCUGGAAAAGGGAGGGAGAUGGGAAUUAUGACUGACAUGACUCAUUGGUUCAAGACAACUGAAUUUUAAUUUACAUUCCAUCGUAUUUCCUUCAAGAAGUACCUUAUCAUUCCAUGCUUGUAAAAUGCACAGGCAAUGCCUGACUUCAAUCAAACGCUAAAGAAGCAUUUGCACUUGUUUUUAUUUGCUUUUAAUCCAAAAAUCAUUUCUGAUUUAAACAAAGGAGACUUUCUUGAAUAAAUUCUACAGUGGGAAAGUGAACAUGCAUAGACCUCUCUCUUCACCUUCUUGAAGUCCCUGGACAUAGCUUUAAGUGUGGUCUGUGUACAGCUACAAACCAUAGCUCAUGUAAACAAUAACGUGCUUCUUUCUCUUUCCCCAACAUUUGUGACUCUGACAUUUCUUCUGUUUCUUUCCAGGAGACAGAGGUCAAUAUUGCUGUGUCUGAAACCCCAUUGCAGAGCUUCACUAAGGCUCUUCACAGUAAUUACACCUCUUUUCAGAAAUGUCAACAAUUCCUGGGCUGUAAAGAAUCUCUUUGCAAAAAUGUGUCUUUAGUCUUGAAGUUGAAUUGGCAAAGAAUAGCAUCUUCAGCAUUUUAUGUUAAGGGUGGAAAACUUGAGCAUGUUUAUAUGCCAAAGAGGGCAAGAUAAAGAGUGUGAGGCUGAUGGAACAAGUGUUAAAGUGAUUUAAUGAUGAAAUAAGAACAUUGAGGCUGGAAUAAAUGGAACCAAACUCUUAGAUAGAAGGAGACCCUCUUCCAGUAUACAAGAGGAAAAAAGAAAAGUAUAAUCACACCUUUAGGGAGUGGGGCUUGGAGGGUGAGAUGAUGCUUUUUAGAAGCUCACACAAAAGGCCCGUAUCACCUGGGAUGCAUUCGACUGCAAAUAACAGAUGUCCUAAGUAAACUUGGGUACAAUGAUAAAGAUACUUAUUAUCGCAUUUAAGAAGAAAUAUAUCCAGAUUUGUUGAAUAAUUAUGUGAAACAGUGAAUAGAAUUAUCUGAAAAUGACCAUAAAAACUCACUCUCAGUUGCUAGGAAAGCAGGCUCGCUGCUGUGAGGGAAUGCAGAGUGGUAGUUACGUUCUCUAAGUGGGCGGAACAAUGACCAACCUAAGCAAUAUGUGGAGAGUGACCAUUGGCUCCCUUCCUUACAUCCUUUAGCAUAUCUCAUCCCCAGACAACUUUUGUAAACUGUUGGUUUUCAAUAUAUGAUCCAUGGUCGCUAAACCAGCAGCAUCCUCAUCACCUGGAAACAUGUUAGAAAUGCAACUUCUCAGGGCCUACCACAGACCACUGAAUUAGAAGCCCUGGGGGUGGGGUUCAGUAAUUGUAUUGUAACAAGCACUACAGGUUCAUGCUAAUGGUUAUAAACCUCUGCUGUCAACAUCUGAUACCCCAAAUCCAGAAGCAGGGACUAGAUCAUUGAGGGUUUCAAAAGCAAUGAAAAGAACUUUAUGGAGUCAAAUAGGAGAACAGUUCUGUGUGAUACCUAUAUUAUGCUGCUAGUAGCCACCCUCCUGGAGCCAUUUCAAAUUAAUUCUCAAAUUCAAUUAGAAAAACCAAAGGUUGCUGUUUUUUAGCAAACAUUGCACAAAUUUGUUCAAUCACAAGGGUAUUCACAAGAGUGUUGCAGAAACAAUGCUCUAAAGGUCAUGCUGAUUCAGUUUUACCUGACCAUUUCCUCAAUAAUAUAAAUCUGAGAAGUGUAGUAAGAAAACAGGAAACAGACCUAGACUGGCAUCCCAGAUCUACUUUUGACCAUGCGUAUCUUAACUUCUCUGACAUAACUUUACUCAUAAAGCUCAUACACAUAGAUCUCUUAAAGUUACUGUAAGAGAAAGAGUCUAACGUAUACUAUACAUAGCAUCUAGUUGAGGUGUCAGAAAAGCUUAGUAAAUGAUGUGAAAAAAAGCUCAUUGUUGUGUGGUUUUUGCUGUGACUCUUGUAGUUAUUGGUGCCUGGCUGUGCUAUUGAAAAUGUAAAGAGGAGGAAUGAUAAUAGCGGAAGCGAAUGUCUUAGAGCUUUCGUAGAAGUGCAGACUGGGAAAGGAGGGAAGCAGAAAAGGCUUCCAAUGCUGGAGAUGCUUAAAAUAAAUCCUGAAGAAUGAGUAAGAGAGAGAGGAGGCUCGAGGAAAGGUGAUUCAAAGCUGAGGACAUAACAUAGAUAUUGUCAUGGAGGCACAAACAACUCUUCCUUUUAGGAAAUACCUAGGGAGUGUCAUUUGGAUGAAGAGUGGGACCCAUGACAAAGAGAGGAAUGAGAUGAAGUUGCAGGCUAACCCAGGGUCCUGACAUGAAGACCCUACUUGGUCUACCUAAGGAAUUGGAUACAUAAUUGAAGAAAAUAUGAGGACUGUUAGAUUUACAGCAGGAAAAUGAAGUCUGCUUUUAAGACCCUAUGGAAGCUUAAGAGAGGAGAAAAAUGUAAACAAAUAAAGAAGAACUUGAAGUUACAGGACUUGUUUGGAGCUUGUUAUCAUGAAUCAGGAGAGCAAGAUGAGGGCCUGGGAAAAACCAUGAGGGGAGAGUGAGUGAUUCCUCUAAAGAGUUUAACGAAAAAACAAUGUUUUCUGAUAGAUAAUAGUAUCCUCAUUAUUAAGGCUUCCCACAUUAAAAACAAAAGGAUAAAUGAAAUGGACUCUGAACAUGACUUAUGUGACUAUCAAUGUGCCAGGAACAACGAGGCUUGGUUCUUGGGUUUAAGACAUUACAGCAUCACAGGGAGAAUAAGCCACAUGUGCCAUGCAGGGUUAGGGAACGUCAAAUGCAGUGUGUGCUAAAUGCUAGAAGGUGUGGUCCAGAUGCAACUAAAGCAAAGUCUUGAAAAAACUAUUCUGGCCCCAAACCCAGAGUCCCAGGAUAUAGUUUCAACUUUGUCAUUGCCUUGGAGAGUGCGGACCGUGGGAAAGUCACUGUCCCCUUUUGAUCUUAUUUUUCUCCCUUACACAAAUGAUGAGAUUGAUUUGAACUGAAAAUAUAAGAAAAUGACCCAGGCAAUGCUUGCCCAACCAGAGCUUAUGCCUGCAACCUGGCAUACUGAAAAUUACAGAAUAGACAAUAUGCAUCAUGUCCAGGUAAUAAAUAAUUCAGAUAUUAUCCUUCUGUUAAAAUAAGCAUAGACAGGCCGGGUGCAGUGGCUCACGCCUGUAAUCCCAGCGCUUUGGGAGGCCGAGGUGGGUGGAUCAGGAGGUCAAGAGAUCGAGACCAUCCUGGUCAACAUGGUGAAACCCCGUCUCUACUAAAAAUACAAAAAAUUAGCUGGCACGGUGGCACGUGCCUGUAAUCCCAGCUACUCAGGAGGCUGAGGCAGGAGAAUUGCUUGAACCCAGGAGGCAGAGGUUGCAGUGAGCCAAGAUCGCGCCAUUGCACUCCAGCCUGGGUAACAAGAGCGAAACUCCGUCUAAAAAAAUAAAUAAAUAAAUAAGCAUAGGCAUAAUAAUUUGGCAUACAAUGUAACCAUUCGUACAUUUUAAAGAUAAAACACAAAGCUUCAAAGACAUAUCUGGCUUACAAGGCAUAAUAGACAGACUUGAAGAUGGCUCUGAAUGAUCUACACCUCCUGGUAUUUACAUCCUUAAGCAUAGCUCAUCCCCUGAGUGUAUGCUAACCCUAGUCACAGAAAAAUAAUUAACAGUCAACAUACAACCUGCAGAACGAGAGAAAAUAUUUGCAAUCUAUACAUACAACAAACAUCUUCAUAUGAUUUAGACCUGUGCCUCCGCCCAAAUCUCAUGUCACAAUGUAAUCCCCAGUGUUGGAGGUGGGGCCCAGUGAAAAGUGAUUAGGUCACAGGGAUGAUUUCUCAUGAAUAAUUUAAUAUCAUUUGUACUGUCCUCAUGAUUGUGAGUUAUCAUGAGAUCAGGUCAUCUUAGUGAGUAACACCUACCCCUAACCCUUCCUCUUGAUUCAUCUAUGUGAAGUGACCCUCUCAUUUCACCUUCCACCAUGAUUGGGAGUUUCCUGAGGCCUCCCCAGAAGCCAAGAAGAUGCCAGCAUCUUGCUUCCCUCACAGGCUGCUGAACUGUGAGCCAAUUAAACCUCUUUGCUUUAUAAAUUAUCCAGUCUCAGAUAUUUCCUUAUAGCAAUGCGGGAAUGGGUUAAUAUAGGUCUAAUAUGUAGAUUUUAAGAAACUCAAACAACUCAGCAUCAACAACAACAACAACAACAAAAAAAAAACCCAAGUAAUCUCAUUAAGAAAAAACUGGCCAAAGAUAUGAAUAGACACUUUUCAAAAUAACACAAAUGGCCAAGAAGCAUACAAAAAGAUGUUCAACAUCACUAAUUAUCAGAGAAAUGCAAAUUAAAAUGACAAUGAGAUACUAUCUUACACCAAUCCAAAUGGCUACUAUGUAAAAGACAAAAAAUAACAGAUCUGGUGAACAUUUGGAGAAAAGGGAGCUCUUAUACACAGUUGGUGGGAUGUAAAUUAGUACAACAUCUAUGGAAAACAGCAUGACUGUCUCUGGAACAACUAAAAAUAGAGCUACCGUGCAAUCUAGCACUUCUACUACUAAGUAUCCACCCAAAGGGAAAAAAAUCAUAUCAAAAAGAUACCUGCACUGGUAUGUUUACCAGAACACAAUUCACAAUAACAAAGAUAUAGAAUCAACCUAAGUAUUCAUCAAUGGAAGAUUGGAUAAAAUGAGUUAUGUAUACACAGUGAAGUACUAUUCAUUCAUAAAAAAAGAAUGUCUUUUGCAGCAACAUGGGUGGAACUGAAGGCCAAAAUCUUAAGUGAAACAACUCAGACAGAGAAGAAAAAUUACCAAGUAUUCUCACUUGUAAGUGGGAGCUAAAGAAUGUGUAAACAUGGAAACAAAGAGUAGAAUGUUGGACAAUAAAAACUCAGAGGGGUACUGGGGUAAGAGGGGCGUCAUGAUGGGAGGUCACUUGGUGAGUUCAAUGUGCUUUGCUCCACUGUAGGCCUUCACUUCACCACAACAAUAUAUAUGUGUGUCAAAUUGCACUUGUGCCCCAUGAAUCUAUACAAAAAAAAAGAGAGAAUAAAAUAGAAUACAGCAAAAGUAAUAGAAAUAAAUUUGCAAGUUUGGGUUAGAAAAAACUAGAAACUCUCACUGUCUCUCUCUUUCCUCUCAUUUAAUCCCACUGAUGAAGCCAUUUUUCAUGUUGUCAGCUGCCCUACUGAGAUGACUACCUGGUCAGAAACAGCCAGCAAAGAAUUAAAGCCCUCAGUCAGACUACCCACAGGGACUGAACCCUGCAAAUGACUAGAUGCAUGAACUCGGAAGCGUAUUCUUUCGUAUUCAUCUUGAGAUGAUUGCAACCCUAGCUGACCCUUUGAUUGUAAGAGACCCAGUGACCCCAGAUAAGGUGUACCUGGAUUUUAGUCCCAUGGAAAUAAUAAAAUUAUACAGAUUUGUUAUUGUGGUAAUCUGUUAUACAAUGCAGCAUACACAAAGGAUUACUUUGAGCUAUGGCCAGAAACACCCACUGAAAUAAUCUCUCUUGUCUCUGCCUUAAACAGCAGUUGGUAGAAAUGUCUAUAAAACAUGCUUUUUGUUUGCUUGUUUUUGAGACAAAGUCUCACUCUUGUUGCCCAGGCUGGAGAACAGUGGCACGACCUCAGUUCACUGCAACCUCUGCCUCCCGGGUUCAAGCGAUUCUCCUGCCUCGGCCUCUCAAGUCACUGGGACUACAGGUGUGUGCCACCACGUUGGGCUAAUUUUUUGUAUAUUUAGUAGAGAUGUGUUUUCACAGGAUGGUGUUGAUCUCCUGGCCUCCUGAUCUGCUUGCCUCGACCUUCAAAAGUGGUGGGAUUACAGGCAUGACCCACCACACCAGGCCUAUGAAACAUCUUUAAGAAGUGCAAACUUUAAUGAGUUCCUAGGCUGGCAGAAUAGCCCCCUCUAAAUCACUGCUGAUUGUUGUGGCAGAGGAGAAGACAACAUAGCGAUUGGGAACUGGUUCUAACGUGUUUUCCCUGAAGAGACAGCUGGCAUUUAACCGGGCAAAGCGACUCCUAUAGCCAUAACUGCAAAGGAAGAGAGAAGUACAAUUUUACAAUAUGCUUAGAAGAAAAUCCAGAAACUAUAGUACUUUGAGGAGUUUGAAUGUCUACUAGGCACACACCCUCAAGUUAAGGUUGUAUUAGAGGCUAAAGAGUGGCAGGCAAAAUCUUAACUUCAGAGAACUGACCUCACUUCUCUGAUGUCUGUGUUUUCCAGAUGGCCAUUCCCAGCUUUUCAUGUGAAUACACUCUUUAAAACUGGAUUCUGAUUUUUCUGAUUAUUUCAGUCCCAGCUCUGCUACUGGCCAGCUGGGUGAUUUUGGCGAAGUUACAGAAUCCACCAGAAGCACAGUUUCCUUGUCUACAAAGUAGAAAAUACAAUUCCUGUCCUCCAACCCCACAGAUUUCUAAGCAUCAGUAAUGGAGAUGUUGUAGAAUCUCUUUGUUAAUUCAUGUGUUGCAGAGAGACAGUCCUUCUUCCUAAUUGGUUAUUUAAAUAUUGUAAUUUUGUUUGAUUGUUUACUGAAGUCAUGUCUGAAAUCUCCCAUCUAUAACUAAUCUCUGACUCAAUGAACUUUCAUGACAAUUUUUAAGAGAGAAAAAGAAAAAAAUAUAUAUAUUCUGAAUACCUACUAAAAGCUAGGUGAUGUAAAUUCAUUUGUAUUACGUAUCUCAUUUUAGUCCAACAACUCUCUGAGGAAAAUUGGAUUCUCACUCCCCAAGAGGUAGAAAGCUCUCUUGGGUUUCUGACCUGAGUGACCACAGGCUUAGCACUGACAGUGACAUACAAAGGAAAAGAGGACACAUGGGCUCUGAGCAGAUUGUGGAGGGGAGAAUUGCUGAUACACCCAGAGGGAGCUGUCCUAGAGGCAGGCAGAACUCAAGUCUGCACCUGGAAGGGGUCUUGACUUAGCCUGGACACUUGUGGGUCAUUCAUGAGGAGGAAAAUGAGGCUGAGCAUGUAAAUGUGGUCAGUCAGGGAAAAGGCAUAGACUGAAAUAUAGAGACCACAAUGGAGUACUAGGAGCUAACAUUUUAAAAAUGGACCCAAGAAGAGAAUGAGAUGGAGAAGAUUGAGUAGCUGCUAGAGAAGGAGCGGGAGUAUCACAGUGCAGAAAGAUCUUACUUAUUGUUGUGAAUAGGCUUUUGGAAAUGGCAACUCUAAACAAAACAAUGUGUGACAAAACCAAUUUCACCAUAGGCUAAUUGAUAUUAACAAGUAUCAAGUUUCUACUGCAUAGUCUUGUCAGAAAAACAUCAUCAUACUUCAUUUAUUUAUUUAUUCAUUUAUUCAUUUGAGACAGAUCUCUCUGUUGCCAGGCUGGAGUGCAGUGGCACACUCUCAGCUCACUACAACCUCUACCUCCAAGGUUCAAGCGAUUCUUCUGCCUCAGCCUCCUGAGUAGCUGGGACUACAGGCAUGCACCACCACACCCAGCUAGUUUUUGUAUUUUUAGUAGAGAUGGGCUUUCACCAUGUGUACCAGGAUGGUUUCAAUCUCUUAACCCUCUUGAUCCACCUGUCUUGGCUUCCCAAAGUGCUGGGAUCACAGCCAUGAGCCACGGCUCCUGGUCACAUCAUUAUACGUCUAAAUAGAAACCCCAAACACUUCUAAUAUUAAACAUUGAAACAAAUGUGAGAUACACAUGCAUUUAAGAAAAAAUAAUAAAAACAAGUUAGAUAAUUAUUUACUCAUUUAUUCUAGUGCAGGGCCUUGGGUGGCUGGAUCCUGUCCCAGCAGCUCAGGAGCUAAGUGGGACCCAACCCUGUCCAGGAUGCCAUACCAUCACAGCACACACUCACCUCCACACCCACACUCACUCAGACUGGGACCACUGAGACACACCAACAAACCUAAUGUGCACAGCUUUGACAUGUGACAGGAAACUGGAGUGCUCAGAGAAAACACAUGCAGACACAGACGUGGGGAGGACUUGCAAAGUCCACACAGACAGUGGCCUCAGUUGGGAAUCAAUUUUUUUCUUAAAUGUUAUAAUUAAACAAUGUUGAAUUAAACAACAUUAUUUGAGAAACUGCUGUAUGCUGCUGCAUAUUUCAGAAGAGGAAUUUGAAGUAGAAGGAAGAGUUUGAUGAUGCUUACAAUUGUUUGAUGUUUGUAAUACAAGGAUUAAAAAGUGUCCAGUGAAUUUGGCAGUUGGUUCUUUAUUAACCACAGGGAGGUCAUCUUUAGUGGAGUCAUUAUGGCAGAGGACGGCUGCAUCACUGCAAUUUUAGGAAUGACUGGGAAUUGAAGAGCAUGCAGAGAGAAUUAGUUGACAACCCCAUGAGAAAGUACAGGCUGGUGAGUGAUAACAGGGAGAGGAUGAAGGCUCCAGGAAGAGGUUUGUGCAGGCUAAAUAGCUGAUAAACUUUUAGAAACCCCGUAGUUGUUUGCAGAGGAAUGGUGAGUCUGAAGUCCUGUCCUCUUGUGAACUACCCAGAGAUAUCCGAAGAAAUGUGGUUCCAGUAGCCCAAAGCUGAAAUGAAACAUUGGUAAGCCAGAGCACACCCAGCAAAAGUGAUGAGCAUAAGAAAGCAGUUCAACAUUUCCAAUGAUGCACAUACACAUAAUACACACAAGACAUGUAUACAACCUAUGCAUCGCACACACUGAACAAACAACACACAAAACACAACAUGCAAACACAUAUACAACACACAACACGUGCAUAUUACACACAUACACACAAUAUGCAUAAACCAUGUACACAACGCAUUAUACCUACAUCAGACAUACAUUAUACACACAUCACAUCCAAUACAGGUAAAACACCACAUACAAUAUACAUGCAAACACUAGGCAACACACAUUGCAUAUAUGUGACACACAUGUGCAUAUAUGCACCAAAUGCUUGUAUGCACAAAACAUCCACAUAAUACAUACACACACACACAUGCACAUGCACACUCUAGAGUUGUCUAGCAAGCCAAGGAUGUAUAUACCAUGUCCCAGUAAGAAGCAUGGGAGGAAGGGAAGAGUCUGAUGUGUGCUAGCCUUUGAAGGUUAUAAGCUCACAUGUUUAACCAAGCAAAGAGAAGAGAAGGCAAUCAAGAAAAAAGGGCAUGAGAACAAGAUGUGAUCACCUUCAGACUCUGCCAGUGCAAGCCACAGUACCAUUGUGGGAGCAGAAAUGUAAUCCUCUGAGCAUACCCUUGAAUGUCCAGCACUGAAUCAGAUUGAGCUACAAUUCCUUUACAAAAAAGAAUAAACACUCAUUCUCCCUCAACCCUUUUUGUUUGAUUUGCAAUGAGUGAGUGGUCUGUUGAAAAUUCUUGCAUGUCUACUUCAAAUGUGCUAUAUGAAAGCUGAAUAUACAUCAUUAUACUAUAAACACACACACACACACACACAUAUGUUUAUUGUAGCACUAUUUACAAUAGCAAAGACAGGGAACUAACCCAAACGCCCAUUAAUGAUAAACUAGAUAAAGAAAAUGUGGUAUAUAUACAACAUAGAAUACUAUGCAGCCAUAAAAAGAAUGAGAUCACGUCCUUGCAGGGACAUGGAUGAAUCUGGAAGCCAUCAUUCUCAGCAAACUAACACAGGAACAGAAAACCAAACACCCCAUGUCCUCACUCAUAAGUGGGAGUUGAAAAAUGAGAACACAUGGACGCAAGGAGGGGAACAAAACA